AAAGCGCAAUGGAUUGCGCGUUGUACUUAUAAUCCAAAAGUCGUGGGUUCGAAUCCCGCCUGAAAUG
Non-coding RNA from Trichonephila clavipes, 67 nucleotides. The record is from the annotation of a GenBank genome assembly. Lineage: Eukaryota; Metazoa; Arthropoda; Arachnida; Araneae; Nephilidae.